This is a microRNA precursor of Monodelphis domestica (gray short-tailed opossum), 58 nucleotides long. NCBI's taxonomy places the organism in Eukaryota, Metazoa, Chordata, Mammalia, Didelphimorphia, Didelphidae. The record is from Ensembl.
AAGCCCUUUUUCUGGUAGUUGAGUGAUUUUACACAACUGCUGCUAAUUAAAGGCUUGC